CAUCGAUGAAGAACGCAGCGAAAUGCGAUAAGUAAUGUGAAUUGCAGAAUUCAGUGAAUCAUCGAAUCUUUGAACGCAUCUUGCGCUCCUUGGUACUCCGAGGAGCAUGCCUGUUUGAGUGUCAU
Molecule: ribosomal RNA, 125 nt
Filed under: Agaricus californicus
Lineage: Eukaryota; Fungi; Basidiomycota; Agaricomycetes; Agaricales; Agaricaceae
Also listed under: 1 other name
Description: 5.8S ribosomal RNA
Rfam family: 5.8S ribosomal RNA
About the family: 5.8S ribosomal RNA (5.8S rRNA) is a component of the large subunit of the eukaryotic ribosome. It is transcribed by RNA polymerase I as part of the 45S precursor that also contains 18S and 28S rRNA. Functionally, it is thought that 5.8S rRNA may be involved in ribosome translocation.
Source: RNAcentral